CAUUCACAAUAAGAGUGUUUAUGGCACUCUUCCAAAAAAUCCAUACCCACCUUGUGUGCAACGUAAGAAGAAAGAAGCGCAGGUCAUGGGGAGCAAUCUCCAAGACAAGCCUUUUUUUCUUUUCCACAUACACCUUUCUAUAAGACCUAUUGUCUGAAGCUGUUAGAGAAUGACUAAUUCUUAAACAUAACUUUCAACAACGGAUCUCUUGGCUCUCGCAUCGAUGAAGAACGCAGCGAAAUGCGAUACGUAAUGUGAAUUGCAGAAUUCAGUGAAUCAUCGAAUCUUUGAACGCAUAUUGCGCUCUUUGGUAUUCCGAAGAGCAUGCUUGUUUGAGUAUCAGUAAACACCUCAGCCAGAUUCCUUUUCUGGAUGGACUUGAGCAAACCCAACGUUGUGGUCUCUCCGGAGGCUCGGUGGCGGGUUGCUUGAAAUGCAGGUGCAGCUGUGACAAGAACAGACUGAGCUAAAAGCAUAUCUAAUUUAGUCUGCCUGGCAGAUUAUCUCUAUUUGCUGCAGUUCAACCAAAGUCGUCUUGUCUGGCUGACUGAUGCAGGAUUUGUCAGACUUUCCUCUCCUUUUGGGAGAUGGACCUCUUUCAAAACUCGAUCUCAAAUCAAGUAAGACUACCCGCUGAACUUAA
This 643-nucleotide ribosomal RNA is filed under the name uncultured zygomycete. RNAcentral describes it as "eukaryotic LSU rRNA". The stretch from base 189 to 342 matches the Rfam family "5.8S ribosomal RNA". Lineage: Eukaryota; Fungi. The record is from RNAcentral.